Molecule: long non-coding RNA, 480 nt
Organism: Solanum tuberosum (potato)
Lineage: Eukaryota; Viridiplantae; Streptophyta; Magnoliopsida; Solanales; Solanaceae
Exons: 2
Source: RefSeq, a predicted model, not a curated record
CAUUCAUCUACAAAUUCAAAAAAAAAAAAAAACUUUUUCUUCUCUAAAUAUCUCUUAAUUUCUUCUUGAUUAUUAUUCCACCUCCUUUUUUGAGCAAAAUACAAUUUUUUUUUUAUUAAUUUGAAGAUGAAUUCAGUGAGAUUAUUGAAUUUCUCAUUUAUAAUUAUUAGUUUCAUGUUUAUGGCACUUGUUGAAUUCAGUUUUGGACAAAGCAUGGCUCCUUCUUCUGCUCCUCCUCCUUCCAAUGAUGGCACAACAAUUGAUCAAGGGAUUGCUUAUGUUCUUCUACUUGUUGCCCUUGCAAUUACCUACUUGGUCCAUUAAUUCACUCAUAUUGGAGUUUUGUUAUAUUUAGCUAAUUAAUUUAUUCUUUCAUAAUAUAAAUUAUUUAUGUAUUUUUCUCCUAUAUUCAAAAUGGAGAAAUUUCCAAUUUUUUUGUGAGUAAAUGAAAUAAGGAAUGGUUACAUAUUAUUUGUGAUA